GAAAUUAAUAUCUACAAUUAAUUAAUUUAGUGGCAAUACCGGCUGCCAGUCCACCAGGGAAUAGUCUACCCACCAUACCCGCUGUACAGAGUUCAUUACACGCCCUGAGACCACAGGGGCCCACGAUCACACCUUCAUUGGCCAAUCAUUACAGGGAUGACCUUACGAAUCAUGUGAAGGGCUGGCCCGCCGAUAUUCUGGAAAAACAAGCGCAAAAGUUAUCAGAGGAAGCACACAUUAUGGGCAGUAUACAAUGUUCAAAGGUAUCGGCGGAACUUAAAUCCGCACGAUCUUUAGUUCGACUUACCGAAAUACAAGCUACAUUACAGGAGCAAAGGAUUCUUUUUCUUCGUCAGCAAAUAAAAACGUUGGAGGAAUUAAAGUCCCAGAAUUCAUUUAUGUCCGAUGAUUCUUAGUGCAAAAGUAUUCACAAAACUCUAGUGUUAAUGGCUAAUCGUUAUUUUGUUUUUCAUUCUUUUUUUUAUUUAAGUGAAAGGAAUGGUAUGCGUACAUUGGUUUUUUGACGUUGUUUAACAAACACGGUGUACAUUUACGGAUUUUCGCAAACUAAAAUUCAACCCAAAUGAGUUUUCAGACCUGUCGCAAACGACAGGACUUUAGGGCCUAUUUGGCACUUUAAAAAAUUAUUUAGAUAUCUAAAGACUAUCUCGAUAGGUAGAAUUUAUUAAAAAGAAGAUAUGUGAAUUUGUAUUUGUAUUAUAACGGUUUUAUGUUUUAGAUGUAGCGAGAAACGAGAUAAUUCUUCUAGGCAUAGUUUAUUUCCCAUUCUCUCCUCACCUAGAUGUACAUUUUCAUUUGCUUACUGUGAGCAGUUAUGUAAUAAUUCGUUUCUUCUAUCAUUUGUACAUAUAUAUUAUACUUGUUUUUUUUUUUAGAAUAAAUAUGUAUUUAUGUAAGCGGUUCACAAUAAAUUUUUAACCAUUUAAGAAUAUAGUCUGACUUUUCUUUAAAGUACAAAUUAUUCUCUAAAGGCGAUUUAAAAAUUAAGCGGUAAUUUGGUUAUUGGAAACUUUUUAUUGUAUCAUUUAAAAUAUUAAAAAGUGAUUUGCUUUUUUUGUAUCUUAGAUGUAAUAAUUUUGAUUGAAAAUGUAUUUAUUUAAUUAAUAUUUAUACAAGUAUAAGUAUUUAUUAUUUCUGUCCUUUUUGUUUUGUAAAUGUAGUACUGCAUUAAAAAUCUUUCACAAUAAAAUAUUUCAGUCGAACUUGAGGCAGUAUGAAAAUGUACAUUGGGUUACAACGUUGAAUUAUUAACAGGACAAUAGCCUUUUCUAUUAGCUAAUUCUAAAAGUUUAUUAUUUAAUUGUGAAAAACUUUAAUAACUAUUAACAUUUUGUUCGUCUGAAACAAAUUUGUGAAAAUCCAUCAAUUUUUACGCGAUUUAAUUUUCGUGUAUAGUCCGUAAAAAUUAUUUAUAAAUUUGUAGUUGUUUAUAUAUUGAAUUAACUGGUGAAAAAAUAAACGUUUUGUUAUAAUUA
Onthophagus taurus is the source of this 1496-nucleotide non-coding RNA. Lineage: Eukaryota; Metazoa; Arthropoda; Insecta; Coleoptera; Scarabaeidae. The record is from RefSeq and is a predicted model, not a curated record.